RNAcentral lists this ribosomal RNA (654 nucleotides) under uncultured bacterium. RNAcentral's name for it is "bacterial SSU rRNA". It matches the Rfam family "Bacterial small subunit ribosomal RNA", at positions 8 to 704 of the family's 1533-position model. The record is from RNAcentral.
AGAGUUUGAUCAUGGCUAAGGCUAAACACGGUAGGACGAAAUAAGGUAUGCGAGUUUAAUCAUGGCUUCGGACUAACUGGGUAAACGGGUGAAUAACGUGUGAGAAUCUGCCUACAGGACUGGGACAACCACUGGAGACGGUGGCUAAUACCAGAUAUGAAGUGAGUAAAAAGGUUUAUUCCGCCUGAAGAUGAUGUCGCGUCAGAUUAAUUAGUUGGUGAGGUAACGGCUUACCAAGGCAUCGAUCUGUAGCUGGUCUGAGAGGAUGACCAGCCACACUGGGACUGAGACACGGUCCAGACUCCUACGGGAGGCAGCAGUGAGGAAUUUUCCGCAAUGGGCGAAAGCCUGACGGAGUAAUACCGCGUGCGGGAGGAAGGUCUAUUGACUGUAAACCGCUUUUAGGGGGGGAGAAUUGAUGACGGUACUUAAUGAAUAAGCCUCGGCUAACUCCGUGCCAGCAGCCGCGGUAAGACGGAGGAGGCAAGCGUUAUCCGGAAUUAUUGGGCGUAAAGCGUCCGUAGGUGGUUUUGUCAGUCUGCUGUCAAAGCCCGUGGCUCAACCACGGAAAGGCAGUGGAAACUACAAGACUGGAGUGCAGUAGGGGCAGAGGGAAUUCCCAGAGUAGCGGUGAAAUGCGUAGAGAUUGGGAAG